CAUAUGCUAUUUAUUUAUUAGAAUUUUUGGACCUUAAAAAAAAAUCAGGACUACGUGUGUGUUUGGACCUGCUUGUUCAAAAACUCUCUCAUAGACUUAAGUUUUUGAAAAAAUAAAAUAAAAUAAAAAGGAAAAUUUCUAAUUUUUAAAGUCUUUAUGUUAAUAGUUUAUUAAAUUUCUUUUUUCCCUAAAAAUACCAGAAGUCCACUUUACAUGGCUGGAAAAAAAAAGCCAACAAAUGGUUGUUAACAUUUUCUGAAAGACGUUUGUAGUCUUUUUCUAUACUUUUUUUUUUUAUUUGUAAAAAAGAAACUGAAAAUAUUUCAGAUAAAUUAUAUGGGGCUAAUUUGAAACGAAAAUGAAAACUUAAAUUCAAAGUUAUGGUUUUACAUGGCACUUGUGCUGUCUCUUAUUUAAUUGGUUUAAAUCUUCUUAAGUUGAUGGUGAGUGAAAGUAGAAGAUUUGAAAGGAUCCCUUUGGGGCUUAUGUAAUUAAUAUUAUGUGGUGCAAUGAAGGACCAGGACAAGGACUAUUAAUCAACCAAACUCCAGUGGGACCAUUUUUGGGCCUAUGAAACUUCCUCAUUUCUAAAACCCCUUAAAUAUCCCACCCUCUUCCAUUCAUUGUGUGGUGCUGAUCAAUGUGCAAUUAUGAGAUCUUGAAGGAGCUCAGCAGGCCAUUAUUAUACCAGCAUUGACCCCUGAGUUUUCUGAUGCAAGCCUGCACCUUAUAUAGUUCCAAUCCAUCAAUUACUACCAAUUUAAUUCUCAUAUAAAAAAAAUCUUUUGUGUUAGGACUUACAUGGGAUGCUGUUCCCAAAAUUAGUUUGUGUUGAAUUGGUGCACUGACCCAUUCAUUUAUUUCAUGCAGAAAUUGAGUUGCUAUUAGUGAUGUGUUUUUGAAUAAUGAUGGUGGGUACUACAUCCACUGAUCCACGUUUUCGUUGAUACAGUCAAAUGAAUGCUUGAUUUUUAAUAUAUUGUGAUCAGGAACAGCCGCAAUUGGUUGGUCUUCUUUUUGGUCAACAAAUAUGCCAGAAGUGCUGGAUUUGCAGGUAACUGACACAGCAUGUGACUCUACCAAUCAUCCUGUCAGUCAUAUCUAACCUAGGGUUAGAAAAUCAUGCUAGCCAUGGCACACUGCCAAUAUCCAAAGGCAUGGCACACUGCACGGCCAGGAACUCACCAGUAAUCUCAUCAGUCAUGUCAAAGACCAGAGAUUUUAAAAUUACCAGACAUGAUGAUUGAUGAUGCAGAAGCAGAUCAACCUAGAGCUACACUGAUAAGGUGGCCAUCUGGAUCUUAUUUCUUUAAAGGUAUAAAUACCAAAAUUCUCUCCUCUAUUUUAUGUUUUUGAUUUUUAUAAUCUUUUAUAAUAUAAUAUUUGUCUGUCUUUUAAUUCUCAUAUUUACAUAUUUUUAUCUUUUUUGAUCCUCUAAUUGAUGGACAUUCAUCAGUUUGAGAGACCAAGAAAACAUAUUCAUUAUCUAAAAUACGAAAAUGUGUAAAUACGAGGGUUAAAAAUAUGAAU
Molecule: long non-coding RNA, 1530 nt
Organism: Dioscorea cayenensis subsp. rotundata (Guinea yam)
Lineage: Eukaryota; Viridiplantae; Streptophyta; Magnoliopsida; Dioscoreales; Dioscoreaceae
Exons: 4
Source: RefSeq, a predicted model, not a curated record